AGUGAACGCUGGCGGUAGGCCUAACACAUGCAAGUCGAACGGCAGCACAGUAAGAGCUUGCUCUUACGGGUGGCGAGUGGCGGACGGGUGAGGAAUACAUCGGAAUCUACUUUUUCGUGGGGGAUACGUAGGGAAACUUACGCUAAUACCGCAUACGACCUACGGGUGAAAGCCGGGGAUCUUCGGACCUUUCGCGAUUGAAUGAGUCGAUGUCGGAUUAGCUAGUUGGCGGGGUAAAGGCCCACCAAGGCGACGAUCCGUAGCUGGUCUGAGAGGAUGAUCAGCCACACUGGAACUGAGACACGGUCCAGACUCCUACGGGAGGCAGCAGUGGGGAAUAUUGGACAAUGGGCGCAAGCCUGAUCCAGCCAUACCGCGUGGGUGAAGAAGGCCUUCGGGUUGUAAAGCCCUUUUGUUGGGAAAGAAAAGCAGCAGGUUAAUACCCCGCUGUUCUGACGGUACCCAAAGAAUAAGCACCGGCUAACUUCGUG
RNAcentral lists this ribosomal RNA (491 nucleotides) under uncultured bacterium. RNAcentral's name for it is "partial 16S ribosomal RNA". It matches the Rfam family "Bacterial small subunit ribosomal RNA", at positions 29 to 507 of the family's 1533-position model. The record is from RNAcentral.